UACGUAGGGGGCGAGCGUUGUCCGAAGUUACUGGGCGUAAAGCGCGCGUAGGCGGUCCUUUAAGUUGAUUGUGAAAUCUUCACGGCUCAACCGGAAAACUGCGGUCAAAACUGGGGGACUUGAGAUUGGGAGAGGGAAGUGGAAUUCCUGGUGUAGCGGUGAAAUGCGUAGAUAUUGGGAGGAACACCAGUGGCGAAGGCGGCUCACUGGACCGGUACUGACGCUGAGGCGCGAAAGCUAGGGUAGCAAACGGG
RNAcentral lists this ribosomal RNA (254 nucleotides) under uncultured bacterium. RNAcentral describes it as "partial 16S ribosomal RNA". It matches the Rfam family "Bacterial small subunit ribosomal RNA", at positions 524 to 776 of the family's 1533-position model. The record is from RNAcentral.